This 162-nucleotide ribosomal RNA is filed under the name Cephalotaxus fortunei var. alpina. RNAcentral describes it as "5.8S ribosomal RNA". It matches the Rfam family "5.8S ribosomal RNA". From Rfam's summary of the family: 5.8S ribosomal RNA (5.8S rRNA) is a component of the large subunit of the eukaryotic ribosome. It is transcribed by RNA polymerase I as part of the 45S precursor that also contains 18S and 28S rRNA. Functionally, it is thought that 5.8S rRNA may be involved in ribosome translocation. The record is from RNAcentral. Lineage: Eukaryota; Viridiplantae; Streptophyta; Pinopsida; Cupressales; Taxaceae.
AACAUGACUCUUGGCAACGGAUAUCUCAGAUCUCAACCCUAUGAAGAAUACAUAGAAAUAUGAUACUUAGUGUGAAUUGUAUAAUCCUAUCAAUCAUCGAGUCUUUGAACGUAAGUUUCACCUGAGGCCUCGACUGAGGGCACAUCUGCUUGGGCAUUGUAC